Tarenaya hassleriana is the source of this 512-nucleotide long non-coding RNA. RefSeq lists it as uncharacterized. NCBI's taxonomy places the organism in Eukaryota, Viridiplantae, Streptophyta, Magnoliopsida, Brassicales, Cleomaceae. The record is from RefSeq and is a predicted model, not a curated record. The transcript is spliced from 3 exons.
AGAGAGUUGAACUUUGGCAGCUUCAAUCCCAGCUGUACCUAAAUUCUGCUUUCCUAAUGUCUCUUGGGCUUUCUCCAGAACCGCCUGCAGGGAUGGGGGUCCAGAAUAUUUUGUAUGAUACCUCGAGUUGCUCAUGGAGCCUUCUCUGGACCUCUAUUUGUAUUUGCAGCGCUUCACUUAUGGAUAUUGGAUUGUAAUAUUUCCUGGGCGGCUGCAACAACUACUACUAAUUAUUCGGGAAUGUUCAAAUAUUUGAAGUGUCUGGUCCAUAUGGAGAAAUUACCAAGAGGCAUAUUUCGCAUGUUGUGUACAAAGAGUCGGUGGUUUACCUGAAGAUGACUCUUGAGGUGAUACAAGGUAAGGCCUGGAAUGCCCAUGACUUUCAUGAUUGCCUUAGGAGUAGCCUCUGCAAUAGACAAAAGGGAAAAACAAUAUGCAUUAAAUCUAACAAGCUUCUUGUUAAAUAUGUCCUUUUUUCCCCUUUUUUGCUAAUAAGAUAACUUACUAUCUGC